Jaculus jaculus (lesser Egyptian jerboa) is the source of this 104-nucleotide small nuclear RNA. Lineage: Eukaryota; Metazoa; Chordata; Mammalia; Rodentia; Dipodidae. The record is from Ensembl.
GUGCUCACUUUGGCAGCACAUAUACUAAAAUUGGAAGGAUAUAGAGAUUACUAUAGCCCCUGAACAAGGAUGACAUGCAAAUUCAUAAAGCACUCCAUAUUUAA